CAACACCACCAGCUGCCGUAGAACUGUCUCUCACUGCCCUGCAACACCACCAGCUGCCGUAGAACUGCCUGCCUCACUGUCCUGCAACACCACCAGAGCUUUUGGAAAUUCGGCUCCUCUAUCUAGUCGGCACCUCCUGCUCCCUCCAGAUUCUUCAAGUAUCUGCUGCCCUGAUGGAGGGGAGAGUGGAGCUGAAGGAGUGAGUAGAAGAGCUUGAGCACAAGUGCAUCCAAGGGGAGACAGGCCGUGCUGUCCACAUUCUUGCAACUCAGGCUGUCUCCUGGUCUUCGAAAGGUCCUUUUUGGCACGGCUCUUGGUACGGUCGCCCUAGCCCUGGCUGCACACCAGCUAAAACGGCACAAGCACAAGAAGAAGCAGAUUACAGCAGGCAAUGGAGGCCUAAAGCUCGGCGGGGUGCCUGGCUCUGUUUUGCCCGUUAGGCGUUCUUCCUCAGCUAAAAAAGUUAAACAUAAAAUGCUUCUAGUCAUCUAUACUUGGGGACGCUGGGAAUCAGAAAGCAGAUUGUUGUCAGAGAUGGACUUGGAGUACUCCUGAGCGAGACGCCUGCUGCCCAUUUGGAGGCUGCAAAUCUCUGUCUGACUCUGCUCCCUACAGUGUGGAUGGUGAGUCGCGGUAUCCGGCAGGAGGGCUGGUGUGACGUACUUAAGGCUUUUCAGCUCACAGGGAAAUUUUAAACAUAAAAUGCUUCUAGUCAUCUAUACUUGGGGACGCUGGGAAUCAGAAAGCAGAUUGUUGUCAGAGAUGGACUUGGAGUACUCCUGAGUGAGACGCCUGCUGCCCAUUUGGAGGCUGCAAAUCUCUGCCGGACUCUGCUCCCUACAGUGUGGAUGGUGAGUCGCGGUAUCCGGCAGGAGGACUGGUGUGACGUACUUAAGGCUUUUCAGCUCACAGGGAAAUUCAGUGAGACUUCCGGAAGCUUUCUCUGUUGGUUCCAAGUUCCGGCCUUUGCCUUGUAUUGUGAAAAAGAAGAAAUCAGUAGAAGGAGGGUCAGAUUGGAGGGGGUUCUCUGGCCUCUGCUGCAGCCACCGCCCCACAUUCAUCCUGACAACCUUGGGCAGAAAACCAGAAAAAUACAAUUACCAGAAAAGCUGAGGCGGGGCAAUGACCAGACGUUGGACCUUCAUGGAGCGACUCGGUCAAAGGUUGAACCUUUUGAGAGGAGCUUGAACUGAUAAUUCUGACUGGCUGAAAAGCACUGCCCUAAGGUAAAAAGCAACUCAGACACAGGGGGAAGAUAGAAUCUCCUAGAGCUCCAUGAGGCGUGAGAACCUUGCUUCUGGGGCAGCAUUGCUGAGGCGGGGCAAUGACCAGACGUUGGACCUUCAUGGAG
Molecule: long non-coding RNA, 1351 nt
Organism: Xenopus tropicalis (tropical clawed frog)
Lineage: Eukaryota; Metazoa; Chordata; Amphibia; Anura; Pipidae
Exons: 11
Source: RefSeq, a predicted model, not a curated record